AUCCCUACGGGGCGCAGCAGUGAGGAAUAUUGGUCAAUGGCCGGAAGGCUGAACCAGCCCAGCCGCGUGAAGGACGAAGGUGCCAAGCAUUGUAAACUUCUUUUGUCAAGGGACAAAAUCAGGCUCGAGAGCCUGACCGAGGGUACUUGAAGAAAAAGCAUCGGCUAACUACGUGCCAGCAGCCGCGGUAAUACGUAGGGGGCAAGCGUUAUCCGGAAUUACUGGGUGUAAAGGGAGCGUAGACGGCAAUGCAAGUCCGGAGUGGAAUGCGGCAGCUCAACUGCCGAACUGCUCUGGAAACUGUA
RNAcentral lists this ribosomal RNA (305 nucleotides) under uncultured bacterium. RNAcentral describes it as "bacterial SSU rRNA". It matches the Rfam family "Bacterial small subunit ribosomal RNA", at positions 335 to 637 of the family's 1533-position model. The record is from RNAcentral.